Molecule: ribosomal RNA, 253 nt
Filed under: uncultured bacterium
Lineage: Bacteria
Description: partial 16S ribosomal RNA
Rfam family: Bacterial small subunit ribosomal RNA
Source: RNAcentral
UACAGAGACUGCAAGCGUUAUUCGGAUUCACUGGGCGUAAAGGGUGCGCAGGCGGCCAAGUGUGUGAGGCGUGAAAGCCUAGAGCUUAACUCCAGAAUUGCACCUCAAACUACUUGGCUAGAGCAUUGGAGAGGGUAGCAGAAUUCAUGGUGUAGCAGUGAAAUGCGUAGAUAUCAUGAGGAAUACCAGAGGCGAAGGCGGCUACCUGGACAAUUGCUGACGCUCAGGCACGAAAGCGUGGGGAGCAAAAGGG